RNAcentral lists this ribosomal RNA (301 nucleotides) under uncultured bacterium. RNAcentral describes it as "partial 16S ribosomal RNA". It matches the Rfam family "Bacterial small subunit ribosomal RNA", at positions 509 to 809 of the family's 1533-position model. The record is from RNAcentral.
CAGCAGCCGCGGGAAUACGUAGGUGGCAAGCGUUGUCCGGAAUUAUUGGGCGUAAAGCGCGCGCAGGCGGAUAGGUCAGUCUGUCUUAAAAGUUCGGGGCUUAACCCCGUGAUGGGACGGAAACUGCCAAUCUAGAGUAUCGGAGAGGAAAGUGGAAUUCCUAGUGUAGCGGUGAAAUGCGUAGAUAUUGGGAGGAACACCAGUGGCGAAGGCGGCUUUCUGGACUGUAACUGACGCUGAGGCUCGAAAGCCAGGGGAGCGAACGGGAUUAGAUACCCGUGUAGUCCCUGUCUCUUAUACA